GAACUGCGAUAAGUAAUGUGAAUUGCAGAAUUCAGUGAAUCAUCGAGUCUUUGAACGCACAUUGCGCCCCCUGGCAUUCCGGGGGGCAUGCCUGUCCGAGCGUCAUUGCUGCUAUCAAGCCCGGCUUGUGUGUUGGGUCGUCGUCCCCCCCGGGGGACGGGCCCGAAAGGCAGCGGCGGCACCGUGUCCGGUCCUCGAGCGUAUGGGGCUUUGUCACCCGCUCGAUUAGGGCCGGCCGGGCGCCAGCCGGCGUCUCCAACCUUAUUUUUCUCAGGUUGACCUCGGAUCAGGUAGGGAUACCCGCUGAACUUAAGC
RNAcentral lists this unclassified non-coding RNA (315 nucleotides) under plant metagenome. RNAcentral describes it as "partial contains 5.8S ribosomal RNA, internal transcribed spacer 2, and large subunit ribosomal RNA". The stretch from base 1 to 105 matches the Rfam family "5.8S ribosomal RNA", at positions 50 to 154 of the family's 154-position model. The record is from RNAcentral.